Molecule: long non-coding RNA, 276 nt
Organism: Cervus elaphus (red deer)
Lineage: Eukaryota; Metazoa; Chordata; Mammalia; Artiodactyla; Cervidae
Exons: 3
Source: RefSeq, a predicted model, not a curated record
CACUGCAGAUGGUAAUUGCAGCCAUGAUAUUAAAAGAAACUUAUUCCUUGGAAAGAAAGUUAUGACCAACUUAGGCAGCAUGUUAAAAAACAGCGACAUUACAUUUCCAACACAUGCCCAUCUAUUCAAGGCUAUGGUUUUUCCAGUAGUCAUACACAGAUUUGAACCAUAAAAAAUGCUGAAUGCUGAAGAAUUGAUGGUUUCAAACUAUGGUACUGGAGAAAACUCUUGAGAGUCCUUGGACAGCAAGGAGGUCAAACCAGUCAGUCCUAAAGG